MicroRNA precursor from Medicago truncatula (barrel medic), 170 nucleotides. It matches the Rfam family "MIR2619 microRNA precursor family". NCBI's taxonomy places the organism in Eukaryota, Viridiplantae, Streptophyta, Magnoliopsida, Fabales, Fabaceae. The record is from Rfam.
AAACCGCCCCCUAAGUUUUGCAACUGUAUCAGUUUUGGCCCCCAAAGUCAAUUUUUGAUUAAAAAAAUAACACGUGGCACCUCACUUAGGGUGCCACGUCAGCGUAGAUCAAGUCAAAAUUGGCCUUGGGAGCCAAAACUGCCACAGAUGCAAAACUUAGGGGGCGAUUU